AAGAUUACCUGGGUGAAAGGUCCAGACGUAGUCCCGAGUAUUAGAACCAAGUUGUAAAAGUUUGCAAGUCAUAAAUAUUCGUCUUUCAAGUCCAAAAAUACAUCCAACCAAUCAAACUCUUUUCUUCACCGCCAUGUGUUCUUUAAAACCUUUUUAUAAACGAAAGACAUCUUGUUUUAAGGUGAUGUAAAGCAAUGUUUCGUCCAUAAUUGUUGAGUUGAGAUAAGUGAUGUUUUU
This 237-nucleotide long non-coding RNA is filed under the name Lathyrus oleraceus (garden pea). RNAcentral describes it as "Pisum sativum (pea) long non-coding RNA (PSAT_LNC025481)". The record is from RNAcentral. Lineage: Eukaryota; Viridiplantae; Streptophyta; Magnoliopsida; Fabales; Fabaceae.